AUGGGGUUUAGUGCAUAUCAACAGAUAUCGGCGGCAAUGCGGGUACUCUCUUAUGGCAUACCCGCGGAUUAUACAUCUCAGGACACAUGGAUUUGGCAUGCAUUCUUUGGGUUGCCGGGAACACUCAAUGAUAUCAAUAUCCUCAAUAGAUCUCCUUUGUUCAAAAGAUUAAUUUCUGGGGAUGCUCCACAAUGCAACUACAAAAUCAUGGACAAUGAGUACUCAAUGGGAUACUAUCUCACCGAUGGCAUCUAUCCCGAAUGGGCAACUCUUGUGAAGUCCAUCAAGGAGAAAAAUGGGGUGCCCUUAACAAGAAAAUAG
RNAcentral lists this ribosomal RNA (321 nucleotides) under Triticum aestivum (bread wheat). RNAcentral's name for it is "partial small subunit ribosomal RNA". Lineage: Eukaryota; Viridiplantae; Streptophyta; Magnoliopsida; Poales; Poaceae. The record is from RNAcentral.